Molecule: long non-coding RNA, 234 nt
Filed under: Citrus maxima (pomelo)
Lineage: Eukaryota; Viridiplantae; Streptophyta; Magnoliopsida; Sapindales; Rutaceae
Description: long non-coding RNA (CMAX_LNC003967)
Source: RNAcentral
UAAACCCUCUUUAUCUUGCUCUUCUCGCACUGCAGCAUCUACAUUCACUUUAAAGUGCCCUGCUGGAGGUGGUUUCCACUGUUGACUGCUAAUGGCUUUCUUUCCCAGAUUUGAUUGUAACUCAGGCUGCCUGAUUUUUUUGUAUGAAUUCACUACAGCUUCAGCUCUUGCAACUGAUAUCUGGGGAUCUUCCAUUUUGUUCCUGAGAAUAUGAAGAUUCCUUGAGUGCCAAAC